This 445-nucleotide ribosomal RNA is filed under the name uncultured bacterium. Its description in RNAcentral is "bacterial SSU rRNA". It matches the Rfam family "Bacterial small subunit ribosomal RNA", at positions 354 to 796 of the family's 1533-position model. The record is from RNAcentral.
GUAAGGAAUAUUGGUCAAUGGACGCAAGUCUGAACCAGCCAUGCCGCGUGGAGGAUGAAGGCCCUCUGGGUUGUAAACUUCUUUUAUCUGGGACGAAACCCAUCCAUUCUUGGGUGAUUGACGGUACCAGAGGAAUAAGCACCGGCUAACUCCGUGCCAGCAGCCGCGGUAAUACGGAGGGUGCAAGCGUUAUCCGGAUUCACUGGGUUUAAAGGGUGCGUAGGCGGGCAGGUAAGUCAGUGGUGAAAUCUCCAAGCUUAACUUGGAAACUGCCGUUGAUACUAUCUGUCUUGAAUACUGUGGAGGUGAGCGGAAUAUGUCAUGUAGCGGUGAAAUGCUUAGAUAUGACAUAGAACACCAAUUGCGAAGGCAGCUCACUACACAGCCAUUGACGCUGAGGCACGAAAGCGUGGGGAUCAAACAGGAUUAGAAACCCUAGUAGUCC